AUUUGCAUCCAUGCGUAUUUUGAUCUGUGUGCCAACAUUAGUCAACAAGUCCAAUAGAGAGAACUUCGAGCAAGGACAACCCAGCAUUUCUCUCCUUCAGUUCUUCACAAGACUCCCUUGACUGCUCAAGUUGGACUCGUUCCGUCUCAGAACGUCCCUCUUUAGCGUCUGGAAGCUGUGAGGAUAUCGGUGGUGAUUUGUUUGAAUCAACAACACCUACCUCACAGAAUCAACAAUACUGGAGAGACGUGGAGGAUUUAAGUCACUGGCAUUGUGAGUUCAGAGGUCAAAUUCGGGCGCUGAGGCAAUGGCUGAUGUGCAUGGAGAUGAAGCUGCCACCUUUUAACUCCAUGGUCAGUUUUUAUCUUCCAAUUUUUUAUUUUUUUU
Long non-coding RNA from Nerophis ophidion (straightnose pipefish), 387 nucleotides. RefSeq lists it as uncharacterized. The record is from RefSeq and is a predicted model, not a curated record. The transcript is spliced from 3 exons. NCBI's taxonomy places the organism in Eukaryota, Metazoa, Chordata, Actinopteri, Syngnathiformes, Syngnathidae.